UGCUGGUCCUACUCCCACAGGAGGAUAUGUGUGUAGAGCUGGGAGAGGAGACCCAGUCUAUGACACACUCUACAGUGAACCUCAGUUUCUCUGGUCAGGAGAUCUGCAGCCUUCAGUGUCUCUCAGAAUAAGUCCCAACACAACACAACACUUUACAUCAAAGUCUCUCUCAUUGAGCUGUGAGGAGAAGGGGAACUCUACUGGAUGGAGACUGAUGAGCUACAGAGAGAGAGGAGUAGAGUCAGGGUGUGUCUCUAACUGGGGAUCAAUAACAGGGUCCACAUGUACCAUCAACUACACAUACACAUGGUCCAGUGGAGUGUUCUGGUGUGAGUCUGGAUCAGGAGAGUACAGUAAUGCUGUCAACAUCACAGUAAAUGAUGGUGAUGUGAUCCUGGAGAGCCCUGUC
Coregonus clupeaformis (lake whitefish) is the source of this 409-nucleotide long non-coding RNA. RefSeq lists it as uncharacterized. The transcript is spliced from 3 exons. The record is from RefSeq and is a predicted model, not a curated record. Lineage: Eukaryota; Metazoa; Chordata; Actinopteri; Salmoniformes; Salmonidae.